This 253-nucleotide ribosomal RNA is filed under the name uncultured bacterium. Its description in RNAcentral is "partial 16S ribosomal RNA". It matches the Rfam family "Bacterial small subunit ribosomal RNA", at positions 524 to 776 of the family's 1533-position model. The record is from RNAcentral.
UACAGAGGUCCCAAGCGUUGUUCGGAAUUACUGGGCGUAAAGGGCUCGUAGGCGGCCAACUAAGUCGGACGUGAAAUCCCUCAGCUUAACUGGGGAACUGCGUCUGAUACUGGAUGGCUUGGAUUUGGGAGAGGGAUGCGGAAUUCCAGGUGUAGCGGUGAAAUGCGUAGAUAUCUGGAGGAACACCGGUGGCGAAGGCGGCAUCCUGGACCAACAUUGACGCUGAGGAGCGAAAGCCAGGGGAGCAAACGGG